GUAGGUGAACCUGCGGAAGGAUCAUUAACACGUAUCCAACGUUAAACAACCCUGUGAACCUUCAUUCCUGCUCUCCUCGAGCCCUAACAAAAGCAAUCCUUGGUAAAUCACGCAAACAGUUUGAUUCAAGGACCUCUCUUGCUAGCCCUCGUGGAUUUGAUGCGGUCGUCGCAACUUAGGCUUGGCUUCUGCAGGGCAGUUAGUGGGUGAAAGUGCCACUGAUUGCUUAAGCGGAUAACCGACACUUUGC
This 250-nucleotide unclassified non-coding RNA is filed under the name plant metagenome. RNAcentral's name for it is "partial contains small subunit ribosomal RNA, internal transcribed spacer 1, and 5.8S ribosomal RNA". The record is from RNAcentral.